GGAGAGGUGGCUCAGUGGUUAAGAGCACUGACUGCUCUUCCAGAGGACCCGGGUUCAAUUCCCAGCACUCCCA
Molecule: transfer RNA, 73 nt
Filed under: Mesocricetus auratus (golden hamster)
Lineage: Eukaryota; Metazoa; Chordata; Mammalia; Rodentia; Cricetidae
Rfam family: tRNA
About the family: Transfer RNA (tRNA) molecules are approximately 80 nucleotides in length.
Source: Rfam by way of RNAcentral